RNAcentral lists this ribosomal RNA (853 nucleotides) under Neocamarosporium chichastianum. RNAcentral describes it as "eukaryotic LSU rRNA". It matches the Rfam family "Eukaryotic large subunit ribosomal RNA", at positions 66 to 937 of the family's 3401-position model. The record is from RNAcentral. Lineage: Eukaryota; Fungi; Ascomycota; Dothideomycetes; Neocamarosporiaceae.
CAACAGGGAUUGCCCUAGUAACGGCGAGUGAAGCGGCAACAGCUCAAAUUUGAAAUCUGGCUCUUUCAGAGUCCGAGUUGUAAUUUGCAGAGGGCGCUUUGGCGUUGGCAGCGGUCCAAGUUCCUUGGAACAGGACGUCACAGAGGGUGAGAAUCCCGUACGUGGUCGCUAGCCAUCGCCGUGUAAAGCCCCUUCGACGAGUCGAGUUGUUUGGGAAUGCAGCUCUAAAUGGGAGGUAAAUUUCUUCUAAAGCUAAAUACUGGCCAGAGACCGAUAGCGCACAAGUAGAGUGAUCGAAAGAUGAAAAGCACUUUGGAAAGAGAGUCAAAUAGCACGUGAAAUUGUUGAAAGGGAAGCGCUUGCAGCCAGACUUGCCUGUAGUUGCUCAUCCGGGCUUUUGCCCGGUGCACUCUUCUGCGGGCAGGCCAGCAUCAGUUUGGGCGGUUGGAUAAAGGUCUCUGUCAUGUACCUCUCUUCGGGGAGAACUUAUAGGGGAGACGACAUGCAACCAGCCUGGACUGAGGUCCGCGCAUUUGCUAGGAUGCUGGCGUAAUGGCUGUAAGCGGCCCGUCUUGAAACACGGACCAAGGAGUCUAACAUCUAUGCGAGUGUUUGGGUGUCAAGCCCGAGCGCGUAAUGAAAGUGAACGGAGGUGGGACCCCAUUAGGGUGCACCAUCGACCGAUCCUGAUGUCUUCGGAUGGAUUUGAGUAAGAGCAUGGCUGUUGGGACCCGAAAGAUGGUGAACUAUGCUUGAAUAGGGUGAAGCCAGAGGAAACUCUGGUGGAGGCUCGCAGCGGUUCUGACGUGCAAAUCGAUCGUCAAAUUUGGGCAUAGGGGCGAAAGACUAAUCG